UUUCCAGUCUAGGGUCGCCGAGAGUGGGGGUGGCUGGGAGCAGCGCAGCCUCCUGAGGAGGAGGCGGAGGCCGAGGACCAGGAAUCAUCUUCAAGCGUAUGUCGUGAGGCUUUGGCAGAAAUUAAGAAGGAAAUAUCUCCAUUGUUCAUUGGCAUGGAUAAAUGUUCAGUGGGAGGAUUAGAAUUGACUGAACAGAGUCCUGCGUUAUUAGGGAAUAUGGCCAUGGCAACUAGUCUCAUGGACAUAGGGGAUUCAUUUGGUCAUCCAGCUUGUCCUUUAGUCAGUAGAUCUAGGAACUCACCAGUGGAAGAUGAUGACGAUGAUGAUGUUGUGUUUAUUGAAUCUAUACAACCUCCUUCAAUUUCUGCUCCAGCAAUAGCUGAUCAAAGCAACUUUGUAUUUGCAUCAUCAAAAAAUGAAAAGCCUCAAGGAAAUUAUUCUGUAAUUCCUCCUUCUUCAAGAGAUUUGGCAUCUCAGAAAGGAAAUAUAAGUGAGACAAUUGUUAUUGAUGAUGAAGAGGACAUAGAAACAAAUGGAGGAGCAGAGAAAAAUUCUUCCCGUUUUAUUGAAUGGGGACUUCCUGGAACUAAAAACAAAACCAAAGAUUUGGAUUUCUCCACUUCCAGUCUUUCAAGAAGUAAGGUAAAUGCAGAAAUGGGUAAUAGUGGUAUCACUACAGAAUUGACUCUGAAAUAUGUUAUUACUAAUGUUACAACCUUAGAAACAGGUAUAAGCUCUGUGAAUGCUGGGCAAGAUGUGAACAUAAUGAUUACAUAUAAAACAUCACUAUAGAAUACCAACUUGGGAGAUGUCGCUAAAGGACUUCAGUCAAGUAAUUUUGGUGUUAAUAUACAAACGUACACCCCAUCUUUAACUCCACAGACCAAGACUGGAGUAAGACCUUUUAACCCUGGUAGGAUGAAUGUGGCAGGAGACUUAUUUCAGAAUGGAGAAUUUGCAACUCAUCAUAGUCCUGAGAUGCAUCUACAAAGAAGGCUAAUGUUGUUCUUCCAGUAGAAUCAAGCAAAUCCUUCCAAGAAUUUUGUAGUACAUCUUGUUUGUCUCCCUGUGAAAACAACCGGAAUCUUAAAAAAGGAAUUUUUAAUAAGUCAAGAUGUACAAUUUGUAGUAAAUUAGCAGAGGUCUGGAUUUUUAUACCUAAGUUGUUGUUUAGGCUAACAGUGAUAAUUUUAACUUUUAAGUGCUAUUAUGUACUCUUUCAUCUACAUAAUGCACAUGUUCUGGAUGUAUAACAAGCUAAAAGGAAGAAUAAGGAUAUGUUAGAACUAUCUUAUGGGAUAUUUUAUAAAUAAAAUUCCAUUUGCAUAGC
RNAcentral lists this small RNA (1330 nucleotides) under Pongo abelii (Sumatran orangutan). Its description in RNAcentral is "retained intron". The record is from RNAcentral. Lineage: Eukaryota; Metazoa; Chordata; Mammalia; Primates; Hominidae.